CCUACGGGAGGCAGCAGUGAGGAAUUUUCCGCAAUGGGCGAAAGCCUGACGGAGCAAUACCGCGUGAGGGAUGAAGGAUUUUGGUCUGUAAACCUCUUUUCUCAAGAAAGAAGUUCUGACGGUACUUGAGGAAUAAGCAUCGGCUAACUCCGUGCCAGCAGCCGCGGUAAUACGGGGGAUGCAAGCGUUAUCCGGAAUGAUUGGGCGUAAAGCGCCUGUAGGUUGUUUAUUAAGUCCGUUGUUAAAGCCUAGGGCUCAACCCUAGAAAAGCAAUGGAAACUAGUAGACUAGAGUAUGGCAGGGGUAGAGGGAAUUUCUAGUGUAGCGGUGAAAUGCGUAGAUAUUAGAAAGAACACCGGUGGCGAAAGCGCUCUACUGGACCAUUACUGACACUCAGAGGCGAAAGCUAGGGUAGCAAAAGGGAUUAGAUACCCCUGUAGUCCUAGCCGUAAACGAUGGAUACUAGAUGUUGUGCAUUAUGUACAGUAUCGUAGCUAACGCGUUAAGUAUCCCGCCUGGGGAGUACGCUCGCAAGGGUGAAACGUCAAUGAAUUGACCGGNNGNGAGNGCGAGCGACGACGAGGAGAG
This 588-nucleotide ribosomal RNA is filed under the name uncultured bacterium. Its description in RNAcentral is "bacterial SSU rRNA". It matches the Rfam family "Bacterial small subunit ribosomal RNA", at positions 338 to 944 of the family's 1533-position model. The record is from RNAcentral.